Molecule: non-coding RNA, 27 nt
Filed under: Mus musculus (house mouse)
Lineage: Eukaryota; Metazoa; Chordata; Mammalia; Rodentia; Muridae
Source: RNAcentral
UAUGUUUGCCAGACACUGGCCUAGCCU